AAAGAAUACACCUCAUCUUUAGAUCAUAUGCAUCUCAUCCUGAAAUGCCUUUCUCAUAGAAUAUACUCAUUCCUUCCACAUCUGAAAUAGAUCGCUACACUUUUCUUCUUGUUCCCUUUUUUCUUUUCUCUUUUGCAACUCCUGGCAAUAACAGAAACCGUGCUCUCUCUACUUGACAUCUGGCUGUACUCCCAGAGCUCCCACUCCCGUGUGGCACAUCUUUGUGCUUGCUCUGGGUGCUGCAGCGCCCAGCAUAUUGUUGGCCAGAGGUCCUGAAAGGAGCUGGAGUGGUGAAGGAUGAAGAGACGGCAAUGCAUGGGUUUAGGAAGUAAGACUAACUUUGGGAACAUGCACUUGGACACCCACCUCACGCCCUGGAGGUUAGAUAAUGGAAGUGAAUAGGCUCUGAGAUGUUAGAAACUCCGUUCUGCAUGGACACUGUGGUAGAAGAUAUGGACAAGUUAGGUGCAAGGCCAGAUUCUCUCAAUAUGCACAACUGGCUUUGGGUUCACGCAGUCUCAACUUACUCAAAAGUAGAAAUCUCCUGAAAUGGAAUUUUUCUAUAGUACUUUCUGAAGCUAUAGUGUCCAGCAUGGGAGCCACGAGCCACACAGGCUAUUGAGCACGUGAAAUGGAGCUAGUCUGAAUGGAGAUGCGCUGCACGUGUAAAACAUACACUGAAUUUCCAAGAUUUCAUAUGAAGAAAGGAAUAUAAAUUAUCUCAUUAAUAAUUCUUUAUAUUGGUUACAUGUUGAAAGGUAAUGUGUUGGAUAUAUAGGAUUAAAUAAAAUAUAUUAUUUAAAUUAAUUUUACCUGUUUCUUUUAAAACUUUUAAUGUGGCGACCAGGAAAUUGAAAAUUACACAUGCCUUGCGUUGUAUUUCUGUUGGAUCGUGCUGAUGUACGGAGCCUCUUCCACUCCUCAGCAGUGUUUGGUGAUCUGAAGAAGAGUGAGCACAGCUAUGGCUUUGCUGUUACUCACGUAUUGAUGAGCUCAGCCUUCUCAGGUGUUCUCUUCCUUCCUUCUAGAAUAGUGGCUGACAAACUUGGCUACAGAUUAGAAUCCUCUGGGGAGCUUUUGUAAUACACUGAUGCACAGCUCCAGAUUGACUUAACUGAGCAGAAAAUCUCUCCAGGUGACUGCAGCGUGCAGCCAGGUCAAAGCGCUCCUCCGGAAGUCUACCAAGGUUUACCGAGUACACAGAACCAGCAGAGGAAGCCGCUGCAGGAGCACAGGUCAACACGAAGCAUAAAAUGGAUAUUCUGAUCAAGUUCCUCUGCCAACAGAGGAAAUACCUUUGAGAAGCAGGAAGGGGAUGACAUGGUUCUAGAGUGGCUAAGUGUGGUUGGUGAUUAACUAUGCUUGGCUGAAACCCUUGCUGCUGGGAGUGUCGGCCACACACCUGCAGCAUUGGCAUCACUAGUCAGGCACUGGUUAGAAGCGCAGCAACCGAGGCCCUAAGCCAACCCCACUGAAGCAGAAUCUCCAUUACAACAAGAUUCUGGGUGGCUAGUGUAUGCAUCAAAGUUUUAGAAGUGUUGCCCUAAACAACAUUGUGUAAGCCAGGCCCUUACAUGGGACAAUUCAAUUAAAGCUCAGUUUGAAAAAUCUUUCCUUCUUUCAGUGACGGCUUCCACUGUCAGGAAUGGGGUGGGGAAAGCAUUGCAAAGGCAAGAUUUGCCCCUGUGUAUUUUAAAAAUAGAAUUUAUGGGGGCUGGCCCUGUGGCCAAGUGGUUAGUGUUCUAAACACUCCACUUUGGCAGCCUGGGUUCACAGGUUCAGAUCCUGGGUGCAGACCUACUCCACUCAUCAGCCAUGCUGUGGAGGCAUCCCACAUACAAAAUGGAGGAAGAUUGGUGCAGAUCUUAACUCAGGGCUAAUCUGCCUCAAGCAGAAAAAGAGGAAGAUUAGCAAUGAACGUUAGCUCAGGGCUAAUCUUCCUCACCAAGAAAAAAAAAGAAUUUACAGUUUAUGACUUACAAAAUAAAUUAUUCCUAAUGAAGAAAACAUUUUAAAAAACCCCAAAUCACCUGUAUCCCAUAGCAUAGUAACAACUGCUUUUGAUGUUUCAAUGAGUUUCUUCCAGACUUUUUUCAUUCAAUAUAUGUAUUAAUGUAUCUUCAUUCACUUGAAGAUUUCACUAUUUCCCGUUUGGUCCUUUUCCUAGUUUCUUACUAUCAUAAACUGCUUCUGGGAAGAGACUUUCAUAGACAUCUUUUUGCAUGUCUGAUUGUUUCCUUACCACAAAAUUCAUUAAAAAUGGAAUAAUCGGGUCAGGCAAGGAUCAUUUCUAAAGGUUUUGAUACAUAUUGCCAAACUGAGAGAUCGUCCAAGCUCACUCUAGUGUAAAUGCUCGCAGACUUAUCAACACUGUUUUUAAUCAUUCGUUGAUCUUUGCCAACUUGAGUAACAGCAUAAGGUGUCUCAUUUAAAUUUUUUCAUUUUUAUCAAUUGUGAAGCUGAACAAUUUUUUCUAAACAUCUAUUGUAAUUUUUAUUUCUUUUCCUGCAAAUUGCCCAUUCUUGCAGUCUGUCCAUUUUUACACUGGAUUUUGUUAUUUUCCAACUCACUUUUCAAAAUUUUUAUGCAUUAAAAAUAGUAAAUUUUUGUACAUUUUCUUGUUUUUCUGGCAACCGUUUUCCCUAAUCAUAGUUAAUAUGAAAAGAACAAAAUAACAAGGCAAUAAUUAUAUAAUUUUACUAUCCAAUAUCAUGGCCAUCAGCUACAUGUGGCCAUUUAAAUUUAAAUUAAAAUAAAUUCAGUUUCUCAGUUGUGCUAUCUACAUUUCAAGUAUUCAGGGGCCACGUGUGACUAGUGGCCCCUGUAUUAGGCAGCAGAUACGGAACAUUUCCAUCUUCAGAGAGAGUUCUGUUGGAAAGGACAGCACAGCACAUUGACCUGUCAGCAAGUGGAAAUAGUGCUUAAGGAUCGGGCUACGUGUUACUGAUUCCCUAACCUUCCUGGACAGUCCUCUCCUGCGUUUUGAUUUCCUGUAUAUUUUGGAGAGAAGAGUAUAGUUAUUCUAACAUUUGGAAAAGCUGAUGAACGGGUCUGGAGUAAAUAACUGAUUUAAAUAUUCUUACAACAUCAGUUUUUUAAGAAGUACUGUACUUGUUGCAAAUAAGAGACAUUUUUCACUGAAAGAGGCUUAUUAACAUUUAUCUAGAUAUGUGAUAAGAUGGAAGUGAUGGAUUCCAGUAAUGGUUACAUAUUUGUAUUGGCUCUGCCCUGGUUUUAUUACGGGGAUGCUCUUUCAUGGGAUUAUUUCCUUGUUUUUUAUUGCAUACUGCCUCCCCUUCUCCCCCCCGCCCCAACCCCCAUCACCAGCUCCUCUUUCUUUUCUUCUUUUUCAGAGGAGCCUCCCAGCAGGACCAUCCCUGCGCUCUCUCUAACCUUGCAUAGGAAAAAUGAGGAGCAUGACUGGGUCUGUGGAAGCAGGGCCGGGUUCCUGGGAGGAUAAUCCCAAAGGCUGACCACUUGCCCAGGACACGCCCCUGGUGGAAGUGAGAGGUACACAGCCAGUGCUCCUGUGUGAGAUGCAAUCCUCGCUGGUUUCAAGACAGCCGUCAGCCUUGCUCCUCGCUUUCCUUGUCAUCUCCUGAUCCUUAG
Molecule: long non-coding RNA, 3609 nt
Organism: Equus caballus (horse)
Lineage: Eukaryota; Metazoa; Chordata; Mammalia; Perissodactyla; Equidae
Source: Ensembl